Long non-coding RNA from Cervus elaphus (red deer), 393 nucleotides. RefSeq lists it as uncharacterized. The record is from RefSeq and is a predicted model, not a curated record. The transcript is spliced from 3 exons. Lineage: Eukaryota; Metazoa; Chordata; Mammalia; Artiodactyla; Cervidae.
AGAGGGUCCGGGAGCAGGAUGCAGUCGGCGGGGGCGUGGAGCGGCCGCUUUUCCGCCUGAGCGUAGAGUCGGUUCUCCACCGAGACGAAGCUGCUGCGCGUGGAGGCCAGCGGGGGUGCCCAGGGGCCGGGGCUCUGGGACCCCUAGUGACCUCUGUAUCUUCACCUUGGUCUUCCCACUUGGCUCCCAGACCCCACAGAAAAGGCUCCUCUUGGGAACUGCUCCACUGAAUACAGAAACCACUAGACCGGCUGGAUGACUCUGUCCAGCCUGGGACACCACACAGCGAGAACUUGAGAUUACGGCAGAUGCCCAGGAGGGGAAGAACUGAAGUCAUGUCUAAAAGGAGAGGCUGAAGAGUUCCUUAAAAAGGAAGCAGUCACAGCAGAAAAG